AGCUGUUCUCAGGGCGGGGUGAAAUUCCCCACCGGCGGUUACAGCCCGCGAGCGCCUUACCAUUAUUGGCAAGGGUCAGCAGAUCCGGUGAAACUCCGGGGCCGACGGUAUAGUCCGGAUGAAAGAGAACCUUU
Molecule: non-coding RNA, 134 nt
Filed under: Thioclava sp. SK-1
Lineage: Bacteria; Pseudomonadati; Pseudomonadota; Alphaproteobacteria; Rhodobacterales; Paracoccaceae
Also listed under: 1 other name
Description: FMN riboswitch aptamer (RFN element)
Rfam family: FMN riboswitch aptamer (RFN element)
About the family: The RFN element is a highly conserved domain that is found frequently in the 5'-untranslated regions of prokaryotic mRNAs that encode for flavin mononucleotide (FMN) biosynthesis and transport proteins. This element is a metabolite-dependent riboswitch that directly binds FMN in the absence of proteins.
Source: Rfam by way of RNAcentral